GCUUCCGGCUCCGAGCGGGCGGGGCGAGAGAGCAUGCGCAGUGAGGUGCGUCGCCGGCGGCCGCUCCCGUCCCGCCGUCCGGGAAGGGCUGGGACGGGGCUCCGCAGCCACAAAGGUCUCCCGCGCCCCGGGGAGGACGAUCUGAUUGAAAACGUCAGCGGCACUCAACCAUUCUUAUAACUUGACUGCUUUUCGGGGUGGAAAAAAGCAGUAUCAGACUGGAGGUGGGCAGGCCGGGGACGGCUGAACAAAGGUUUGCAGCCUGGCGCUUCUGCCUUUGUGCCGAGGUUUUAUUCAUUCACACUUGCGCAUUUUGAUAUUUCCCUCUGGGGGAGCUUAAGAGUAUACCAUUCUGCGAGCAGGAUUACGCCGAGGAUUAAGGACCAAAAUGUUUAAUGUAAAAAGAAGGUUAAAAACUGGAAAGCCUUGAAGGAUGGUUUUCAAACUUAAGCGUGCAUCAGAAUUACCUGGAAGGCUUGUUACAACCCAGAAUGCUGGGCCACACCCCGGAGUUCUCUGCUUAGGUGGUCUGGAGUGGGGCCUGGUGAUUUGUUUUUCUACUCCGUUCCUAGGUGAUGGUCUACUCUGGGGAAACUGAAAGUUUAAUAGCUGUCCUCUCGACCAGGCUUAUCUUCUGAUAAAGCUGCUUAUAUGAGGCUGUAAUAAAAAAAAUAUCAUCCUUAAGAAAGGAUGUCUAAUUCACUCCAGAAGAUCACAUAGUGUGGUAUUGACUGGCCUGGGGGAUGGAAUGUGGGUUUUUCAUUCAUUUGAUUAAAAUAUAUAUAUAUUGCU
Eptesicus fuscus (big brown bat) is the source of this 792-nucleotide long non-coding RNA. RefSeq lists it as uncharacterized. The transcript is spliced from 2 exons. Lineage: Eukaryota; Metazoa; Chordata; Mammalia; Chiroptera; Vespertilionidae. The record is from RefSeq and is a predicted model, not a curated record.